RNAcentral lists this ribosomal RNA (702 nucleotides) under uncultured Phenylobacterium sp. RNAcentral's name for it is "bacterial SSU rRNA". It matches the Rfam family "Bacterial small subunit ribosomal RNA", at positions 28 to 776 of the family's 1533-position model. Lineage: Bacteria; Pseudomonadati; Pseudomonadota; Alphaproteobacteria; Caulobacterales; Caulobacteraceae. The record is from RNAcentral.
AGCGAACGCUGGCGGCAGGCCUAAUACAUGCAAGUCGAGCGGUCCCUUCGGGGGCAGCGGCGGACGGGUGAGUAACGCGUGGGAACGUGCCCUUUGGUACGGAACAACUGAGGGAAACUUCAGCUAAUACCGUAUGUGCCCUUCGGGGGAAAGAUUUAUCGCCAUUGGAGCGGCCCGCGUUGGAUUAGGUAGUUGGUGAGGUAAAGGCUCACCAAGCCUACGAUCCAUAGCUGGUCUGAGAGGAUGAUCAGCCACACUGGGACUGAGACACGGCCCAGACUCCUACGGGAGGCAGCAGUAGGGAAUCUUGCGCAAUGGGCGAAAGCCUGACGCAGCCAUGCCGCGUGAAUGAUGAAGGUCUUAGGAUUGUAAAAUUCUUUCACCGGGGACGAUAAUGACGGUACCCGGAGAAGAAGCCCCGGCUAACUUCGUGCCAGCAGCCGCGGUAAUACGAAGGGGGCUAGCGUUGCUCGGAAUUACUGGGCGUAAAGGGAGCGUAGGCGGAUAGUUUAGUCAGAGGUGAAAGCCCAGGGCUCAACCUUGGAGUUGCCUUUGAUACUGGCUAUCUUGAGUAUGGAAGAGGUAUGUGGAACUCCGAGUGUAGAGGUGAAAUUCGUAGAUAUUCGGAAGAACACCAGUGGCGAAGGCGACAUACUGGUCCAUUACUGACGCUGAGGCUCGAAAGCGUGGGGAGCAAACAGG